UGGAAGUAGGGAAGUUCACUUUUCCAUUUGAUGGUGCCACUUUGUAACAACCUCAAGGUCAGAACUGCCUUCUUCAGAUGACAUCGUAACUAUGGGUCUAGAGGGAGAUGAGCUGAUGACAUUCCUUCCUUAUAACUACUUCUUAGGGCCUCAUUCUGUAAGGAUGUUCGUCAAAGGCCCAGCUGGAUGAUGGCUUCUCUACUACUACGAAUGUUGAUGGACACACUUUGGGUUUUAUUACUUACAAUUCAAUUUCUCAAUGUACACUAAUGGGAAAGCCAGAAACAGUGACAACUAUACUUCCAGUGUCUGCUCUGAAUCAGCUGCAGUGUUUUCACACUGGCCUGAGCAGCCCAGACCUGCACACUACUACAGACUGCAAGCAUUAACAGGAUCUUCUAUACUGAUGCUUAUACCAACAUGAGUGAGACCAACCAGUUGAAGGUCACUAAAUACUGCUCACUCUUCCCCAUGAACUACAUCAUCAGGGGACUGAUUUUAACCAUGACAACCUUAAGAGAUGUGUUUCUUGUAGGAGUCAUGCUGAGCACAAGCACAUACAUGGUGAUUAUCUUGUUCAGACAUCAGAGGCAAUGCAAGCAUCUUCAUAGCAAAAGCCAAUUGAGAGCAUCCCCUGAGAAAAGGGCCACCCAGACCAUCUUGCUGCUGGUGUUUUCCUAUGUGGUCAUGUACUGGGUGGACUUCAUCAUCUCAUCCUCCUCAGUCCUGUUAUGGAUGUAUGACCCAGUCAUACUUACUGUUCAGAAGUUUGUGAUAAAUCCCUAUCCCACAAUUACUCCUUUGAUACAAAUCAGUUCUGAUAACCGAAUAAGCAUUAUGCAAAAAAUAUGCCACCAGAUUUUUUAAAAAGUGUAAUUUUUCUCUUAUUUAGAAAAGAAUUUGCUUAUUUUAUUCAUAUGUAUUAGUUUUGGCCUGGCAUGUAUGCAUGUGUGCAUUCCUGGUAUUCACAAACGUCAGAUGAGGUCAUGGGAUCUCCUGGAUCUGGAAGUACAGAGUGUUGUAACGUGCCAUGCUGGUGCAGCACCAAUAAUUUUAUUCCCUAAAACACAAAUUUUUCUUUUUUUCUUAAGUUUACAUUAGUUUUAUUUCAGUUUACAAUUCCCAGGUCACACUCUAUCACUGAGAAAAGUCAGGACUGGCACUGAAAGAGAGGCCGGCGGAGGGAUGUUGAUUACUGGCUUGUUCAGCCUGCUUUUUUAUUCCCUCCCGUGUUCCCCUCUCCACUGCUUGCCCCCUGCUCUACUCACCCUACCCAUAUUUAUUUCAUAUAUGUGGGGACACUGUCACUAUCUUGAGAUACAGCCAAAAAUGGCAUCAGAUCCCAUUAGAGAUGGUUGUGAGCCCUCCUGUGGUUGCUGGGAAUUGAACUCAGGACCUCUUGUGGAGAAGUGGGUGCUCUUAACCACUGAGCCGUCUCUCUAGAUCCAGGUUUUUCUUAAACUAUAUAAUAGUUCAAGUAAUAAAGCAUGAUUCUUCAUAUGGUUUAAAUAGAAUUUGUAGUAUUAUACUUAUUCAUUCCUUUGACAUUUUUGCUGCCAAGAAGUAUAUGGUUCUUAAAUUCAUUAUACAUCAUAAAUUCAUAUCUCCACAGGAAUUCUCUUAGUCCUUCCUUUUUGCUCUAUAUCAUAAAUGUUCCCUUAAUUCUGAUGUUAUAUAAAAGAUGAUCCUUGCUGAUAGUGACUUUUUAAAAAAAUAUUUUAAUUUACUCUAAAUAAUCAAGAAUAUUUAAAAUAUUUGAUUGUACCUUUAACUCUGAUUCGUAAGUAUAAUUUCUAUGAACCCAUAAAAGUAAUGAGUUCAAAAUUUCCAGUUUUUACUACUAAUUAAGUAUUAAGUACUUAAUGAGUCUUAUAUGAAAUUAUCAUAUGCCUCUAUGUUUGUAUGUAACUUUAUUAACCCUUACUGAAAUAUUGAUAAAUAAAAAUUGUGCACAUAUGCAUACAUGAUGUAG
Molecule: long non-coding RNA, 1972 nt
Filed under: Mus musculus (house mouse)
Lineage: Eukaryota; Metazoa; Chordata; Mammalia; Rodentia; Muridae
Description: novel transcript
Source: RNAcentral